Molecule: ribosomal RNA, 738 nt
Filed under: uncultured Atopobium sp.
Lineage: Bacteria; Bacillati; Actinomycetota; Coriobacteriia; Coriobacteriales; Atopobiaceae
Description: bacterial SSU rRNA
Rfam family: Bacterial small subunit ribosomal RNA
Source: RNAcentral
GAUGAACGCUGGCGGCGCGCCUAACACAUGCAAGUCGAACGAUUAAAGCACCUUCGGGUGUGUAUAAAGUGGCGAACGGCUGAGUAACACGUGGGCAACCUGCCUUUUACUUUGGGAUAGCCUCGGGAAACCGAGGAUAAUACCGAAUACUUUGUAUGUAUCGCAUGGUAUAUACAAGAAAGCUUUUGCGGUAAAAGAUGGGCCCGCGGCCUGUUAGCUUGUUGGUGAGGUAACGGCUCACCAAGGCAAUGAUGGGUAGCCGGGUUGAGAGACCGACCGGCCAGAUUGGGACUGAGACACGGCCCAGACUCCUACGGGAGGCAGCAGUGGGGAAUCUUGCGCAAUGGGGGAAACCCGGACGCAGCGACGCCGCGUGCGGGAUGAAGGCCUUCGGGUUGUAAACCGCUUUCAGCAGGGACGAGGCCUUAUGGUGACGGUACCUGCAGAAGAAGCUCCGGCUAAAUACGUGCCAGCAGCCGCGGUAAUACGUAUGGAGCAAGCGUUAUCCGGAUUCAUUGGGCGUAAAGCGCUCGUAGGCGGUCUGUUAGGUCGGCAAGUUAAAUCCGGGGGCUCAACCCCCGUCCGCUUCCGAUACCGGCAGACUUGAGUUUGGUAGGGGAAGGUGGAAUUCCUAGUGUAGCGGUGGAAUGCGCAGAUAUUAGGAAGAACACCGGUGGCGAAGGCGGCCUUCUGGGCCAUAACUGACGCUGAGGAGCGAAAGCUAGGGGAGCGAACAGG